This 253-nucleotide ribosomal RNA is filed under the name uncultured bacterium. RNAcentral describes it as "partial 16S ribosomal RNA". It matches the Rfam family "Bacterial small subunit ribosomal RNA", at positions 524 to 776 of the family's 1533-position model. The record is from RNAcentral.
UACGAAGGGGGCUAGCGUUGUUCGGAAUUACUGGGCGAAAGCGCGCGCAGGUGGUCUUUCAAGUCAGUGGUGAAAGCCCGGAGCUCAACUCCGGAAAUGCCAUUGAAACUGUAAGACUUGAGGAUGAGAGAGGUGAGUGGAAUUCCCAGUGUAGAGGUGAAAUUCGUAGAUAUUGGGAAGAACACCGGUGGCGAAGGCGGCUCACUGGCUCAUAUCUGACGCUCAGGCGCGACAGCGUGGGGAUCUAAACAGG